GACGAACGCUGGCGGCGUGCUUAACACAUGCAAGUCGAACGCUGAAGCUUGGUGCUUGCACUGGGGGGAUGAGUGGCGCACGGGUGAGUAAUACGUGAGUAACCUGCCCUUGACUCUGGGAUAAGCCUGGGCAACUGGGUCUAAUACUGGAUACGACAUGUCACCGCAUGGUGGUCUGUGGCAAGGGUUUUACUGGUUUUGGAUGGGCUCACGGCCUAUCAGCUUGUUGGUGGGGUAAUGGCUCACCAAGGCGACGACGGGUAGCCCGCCUGAGAGGGUGACCGGCCACACUGGGACUGCGACACGGCCCAGACUCCUACGGGAGGCAGCAGUGGGGAAUAUUGCACAAUGGGCGGAAGCCUGAUGCAGCGACGCCGCGUGAGGGAUGACGGCCUUCGGGUUGUAACCCUCUUUCAGCACGGAAGAAGCGAAAGUGACGGUACGUGCAGAAGAAGCGCCGGCUAACUACGUG
Molecule: ribosomal RNA, 472 nt
Filed under: uncultured bacterium
Lineage: Bacteria
Description: partial 16S ribosomal RNA
Rfam family: Bacterial small subunit ribosomal RNA
Source: RNAcentral